UCGUUUAUAAUUUUUCUGAAACUGCUAAGGAUUUUGCGAGUUUAAUGCGAUUUUUUUCGUUUAAUUCUAUGCAGACUAUUUUGGCCUCUUCUGAUUCUUGUUGUCAUAACAGACUUUUGCUGCUUUAUGAAGAUUAGAAAUAUUGAGCUGGUCAUAAUUUCGGCUUAAAAACUGUAAUUAUACACGAGGCAAUCUUUUUUACAAGAAAAUGGCUUUUUAAAAUGAAGUCUUAAGAUGCUCGAAUGUCCUUGAGAAUGGGUCUUGCGCCAUGAUGAUAGCAGGAUGAUUAUUUCGCACAUGAAGGCUAAGAAAAGUCCAUCAAUCGUAGGUCUACCCUUGGAAAGAGUUUCUUCAACAUACCAAAGGCAUAAUAGUUCAUAAUAUGAAAUAUCAAGUCUUCACAAACAUAUGUAGAAAAGGUCCAGUUUGUCGCAAAAGCAAUUCAUAAUGCAGAGUAUCCAGGCAAUGCCCAUCCUCAUCUCCAUCAAUCAAGUCAAAGAACUGGCAAGUCAUGCACACGCCGUCGCCGAAAGUCGCAGAAUUAUAAGUUGUCUAUAUCCCAGUAAUGAUUGCAUAUUGCCUAUGAAAAAAAGUCGAUGCUAUCAAGUUACACUGUGUCCUGUUUUAAGUGGCAACACAAGAAGCUUUCAUCGCUUUGGAAGACAGAGUAAGACCGCACAAUUUAGAACAUUCGUUUAUCGGAACAGGCUGUAUGACAUUAAGAAUUGUUCCUUUCUCAUUUAGUCUCUCAGGAAAUCAUGAUUAAAAACCUUUUUUAAAAAUUUCGAAUUUAAAAAAUGUCUGCUUUUAGGGAAAUUGAAAUGUCGGGAAACUAAUUUUACAAAUAAGACGUUAUCCUUCAGAUAUUCCCCUUGAUUCAUCAGAUAACUUUACGUCAUAUUCAGCAUUAAAAAAAAUUGUAUGUGAUUUAUAGAUAUCUUUUUCGUUUUACUCUUUAAAAUGGAUCUUAUCUUAAAAAUGGGAGAUUUUAUUAGUUUACAAGAACUGGAAGUAAAACCGUUAGUCGGUUUAUUUGGUUUGAAUGAACUAAAACGCUAUAGCAUGUUGCCAUUCGAAUUUCGUUAAACUAAAUAUGUGGAAAAUCGGUGUUGUAGGCAAAUGAUUCAAAUUUACUAUGAAUAAAUGGAUUCCCUAAGUAAUUUUAACAAAUUAAAUUCUUAAUAUAAUUUCUCAGUAAUUAAUCUACAUAAAUAUCAGUCAAUCGUGAAGAGUAUAAUCUUAAACCACGUGUAUGAGGAUAGUAUUUUCCAUUCCAUAGAAGAAAAAAUCUAAUCAAAUUAAAGCAUUGCCCCAAUUGUGGAUUAUAUCAACCUAAUUUUCGGCGAUAUGUAGGCAAAUGAAGGCUAUAACUGUUGCAGAUGGCAAUAUGAAUAAAUUGAGUUUUCAGGUAAUAUUUCAAUUAUUAAAUUAUUCGGCGAAGGAUUGAGAAGUUACAAAAAAGCGUAAUUGGGGAUAAUUUGCUUUUUAGAAUUAACAUAAAAUGUUAAGAUUAUGAAAAAAGAA
Molecule: long non-coding RNA, 1524 nt
Organism: Argiope bruennichi
Lineage: Eukaryota; Metazoa; Arthropoda; Arachnida; Araneae; Araneidae
Exons: 3
Source: RefSeq, a predicted model, not a curated record